CGUCACCUACGGGGGGCAGCAGUGGGGAAUAUUGCACAAUGGGGGAAACCCUGAUGCAGCGACGCCGCGUGAAGGAAGAAGUAUUUCGGUAUGUAAACUUCUAUCAGCAGGGAAGAAAAUGACGGUACCUGACUAAGAAGCCCCGGCUAACUACGUGCCAGCAGCCGCGGUCAUACGUAGGGGGCAAGCGUUAUCCGGAUUUACUGGGUGUAAAGGGAGCGUAGGCGGCGAUGCAAGUCAGAAGUGAAAGCCCGGGGCUCAACUCCGGGCCUGCUUUUGUAACUGGGUUG
RNAcentral lists this ribosomal RNA (290 nucleotides) under uncultured bacterium. RNAcentral describes it as "partial 16S ribosomal RNA". It matches the Rfam family "Bacterial small subunit ribosomal RNA", at positions 333 to 640 of the family's 1533-position model. The record is from RNAcentral.